ACCUAUAGUCUCAGCUACUCGGGAGGUUUACACAGGAGGAUCAUUUAAGCCCAGGAGUUCUGGGCUGUAGUGCGCUAUGCUGACCCACUAAAUUCUGCAUCAACAUGCUGACCUUCUGGGAGUAGGGGACCACCAGGUUGCCUAAGGAGGGGCAAACAGGUCCUGGUCAGAAACAGAGCAGGUGAAAGCUCCUGGGCUGAUUAAUAGUGGGAUAGCACUUGUGAAUAGCCACUGCACUUCAGCCUGGGCAACAUAGCAAGACUUUGUCUCU
RNAcentral lists this signal recognition particle RNA (271 nucleotides) under Piliocolobus tephrosceles (Ugandan red Colobus). Its description in RNAcentral is "Metazoan signal recognition particle RNA (ENSPTEG00000006385.1)". It matches the Rfam family "Metazoan signal recognition particle RNA". Rfam says of the family: The signal recognition particle (SRP) is a universally conserved ribonucleoprotein. The record is from RNAcentral. Lineage: Eukaryota; Metazoa; Chordata; Mammalia; Primates; Cercopithecidae.